Molecule: long non-coding RNA, 1456 nt
Organism: Zea mays
Lineage: Eukaryota; Viridiplantae; Streptophyta; Magnoliopsida; Poales; Poaceae
Exons: 3
Source: RefSeq, a predicted model, not a curated record
CUAGAGCUCAGUCACGACUGUUGUUACGAGUUCAUCCCCUCAUCCCUGUCGAGUACUCCACGCCACCGAGACGUUUCGUCGUCGCCUAGACAUUCCACGCCGCCACCGAGUACUCCAUCUUCCCUCUCAGUUACGAGUUCCCAUCUUUCGAGUACUCGCCGCCGCCGCUGUUUUGCCCUUUUCCACGCCGUCGCUGCUGCGGCAGAAAAGGAUGCACCGCCAGAAAUGGAGUCCCCCCAGAACUGGAUGACCAAGCUCUUGAUUGGCCCUCGCCGGAAAUGGAGUCCCCGCCAGGCGCAACCAACCUUAUCCCUCUCAACGAGAUAGUUGUCGACAUCAAUGGAACAUUUGUGCCUUCACUGAGUGCUCCCGCGCCAACCAACACAGGCUUCUCCCUCACCAUUGAUGAGGUAGACAACACCUGGUUGGAGGCACCACCAGCAGCUGAAGCACCCCCUUCUCUCGUUACUCCCCAGGAACACGGUCACUUGGUGAUAAAACGCAGUUUAGAUUGUCUGUCUCAUCUCACGAAAAAUGAUUUCGAGGGUAUUUCACCGGAUCUCCGAUGAGAGGAAGAAGGACCUCAACAUGUACCAAGUGAGAAAGUGAUGUACCUCAAACUUGGAUUAGCUGCUAAGGAUGAACGCGAAAACAAAGUAGAGAGGAUGCUUGCAAUUAUACAGGUCAUGCAAAUAUUCGAAAUGAGUUGGAAGAUGAUGGUUCAGCCGCCUUAGAUUGUGUUGAUUUUCUGCCCCACGAGACUAGAGUGUUUUAUGACUCUAACCAUCCAGUGAUGGAGGUUGGCAGCCUAUACGCAUCGAUGACUGAAUUCAGGCUUGCAAUGUGGCAAUAUGCCAUAGAAAAAGAAUUUGAGUUAGGCAUUGAGGCCAGUACUCCGAAGAAAUACAGAGGGUAUUGUCGAGGUGGCGACUGUCCAUGGAGCAUACAUGCAAGAAUUGAGAGGGAUGGUUCACCAACCAUAAUCGUAUGUUUUUAUUUGUUCACCAACCAUGGAGCAUACAUGCAAGAAUUGAGAGCUUGUAUGAAAAAACUAACUCCGAAGAAAAAGAAGUAAGGGAUGUUUGUAAUCUGUCCCCGCCUACUACUAUGGAUCAGGUGUAAUGUGUUUCUGUGUAAUGUGUAAAUGGAACUCAGUCUAUGGAAUUCAAAAUGUGUCUGUGUAAUUGGAACUUGUUUUCAGUUCAGUUUGAAUUUCACAAUGUGUCUGUGUGUAAUUCGGAAUGUGUCUGUGUGUAAUUUUCAGUUUAGUUAGGGCACUUGUUUUCAGUCUGAAUUUCUGAUGCAACUUGUUUUCAGUCAGUCUGAAUUCAAUAAGUUCAGUUCAGUUAGUUCAGUAAGUUCAGUCUAGUCUGAACAUUCUGGCAUUCCACACAUUUGCUGACACAUUUUCUGUAGCCAAGAUGCAAUUUUUUCGGAAUGGAUUUAACAUGAACUC